CCGGAAUAGCUCAGUUGGUAGAGCAGAGGACUGAAAAUCCU
This 41-nucleotide transfer RNA is filed under the name Ptychostomum capillare. RNAcentral's name for it is "Rosulabryum capillare partial tRNA-Phe". RNAcentral also lists the same sequence under 4 other names. The record is from RNAcentral. Lineage: Eukaryota; Viridiplantae; Streptophyta; Bryopsida; Bryales; Bryaceae.